Molecule: long non-coding RNA, 1026 nt
Organism: Oncorhynchus keta (chum salmon)
Lineage: Eukaryota; Metazoa; Chordata; Actinopteri; Salmoniformes; Salmonidae
Exons: 6
Source: RefSeq, a predicted model, not a curated record
UAACCCUUGAAUGAGUAGGUGUCCAAACCUUUGACUGGUAUUGUAUAGGCAUGUGCAAACGUGCCUCUGAUGCGUAGAGUAAGGAAGUACAUAAUCUCUAUUCACGUCAUUUCGAUCCCGUGUUCAUGACGUUUGACUACUGAACGUACGCCAGAUGUUUAUAUAGUUGGGUGGGUUUAGGAGAGGAAGAAAUGGAUGUUUAUAUUGUUGGGUGGGUUUAGGAGAGGUAGAAAUGGAUGUUUAUAUUGUUGGGUGGGUUUAGGAGAGGAAGAAAUGGAUGUUUAUAUUGUUGGGUGGGUUUAGUAGAGGAAGAAAUGGAUGUUUAUAUUGUUGGGUGGGUUUAGGAGAGGUAGAAAUGGAUGUUUAUAUUGUUGGGUGGGUUUAGGAGGGGGAGAAAUGGAUGUUUAUAUUGUUGGGUGGGUUUAGGAGAGGUAGAAAUGGAUGUUUAUAUUGUUGGGUGGGUUUAGGAGAGGUAGAAAUGGAUGUUUAUAUUGUUGGGUGGGUUUAGGAGGGGAAGAAAUGGAUGUUUAUAUUGUUGGGUGGGUUUAGGAGAGGUAGAAAUGGAUGUUUAUAUUGUUGGGUGGGUUUAGGAGAGGUAGAAAUGGAUGUUUAUAUUGUUGGGUGGGUUUAGGAGAGGAAGAAAUGGAUGUUUAUAUUGUUGGGUGGGUUUAGGAGAGGUAGAAAUGGAUGUUUAUAUUGUUGGGUGGGUUUAGGAGAGGAAGAAAUGGAUGUUUAUAUUGUUGGGUGGGUUUAGGAGAGGUAGAAAUGGAUGUUUAUAUUGUUGGGUGGGUUUAGGAGAGGUAGAAAUGGAUGUUUAUAUUGUUGGGUGGGUUUAGGAGAGGUAGAAAUGGAUGUUUAUAUUGUUGGGUGGGUUUAGGAGAGGUAGAAAUGGAUGUUUAUAUUGUUGGGUGGGUUUAGGAGAGGAAGAAAUGGAUGUUUAUAUUGUUGGGUGGGUUUAGGAGAGGAAGAAAUGGAUGUUUAUAUUGUUGGGUGGGUUUAGGAGGGGGAGAAAUGGAUGUUUAUAUU